Hemicordylus capensis (graceful crag lizard) is the source of this 352-nucleotide long non-coding RNA. RefSeq lists it as uncharacterized. Lineage: Eukaryota; Metazoa; Chordata; Lepidosauria; Squamata; Cordylidae. The record is from RefSeq and is a predicted model, not a curated record. The transcript is spliced from 3 exons.
GCCCGUGCUAAAUUUUGUGUUCAAUACCUACCUAGCCUUGAAUCUGUUUCUGUACACAUACGAUUUCUUUCCUUGAAAUCAUUUUUUUUUAAAGUGUUGCCAAGUGCUCUUCUAAUUACAUACAAGUCGUCCCCUUCAAUCAAGUGUUGUCAGGGCUUAUCUGACCUUGUGAGUCUCUUCCAAUUUUUCUGAAUCUCAAGAACAGUUGCACAAGACUGGACUCGGGCUGAAGUCAGAUAAAUCUUGCAUGAGAUUGACUGUCAAAAUUUAAACUGGUUGUCCAAUUUCAAAAAACAGAUGUAAGUUUUUGUUAAAAACACAUAGAAUUGCAUUCUGGAGCUUAAAGAAAGCU